UACGGAGGAUGCAAGCGUUAUCCGGAUUCAUUGGGUUUAAAGGGUGCGCAGGCGGGAGAUUAAGUCGGCGGUGAAAUUUUGCAGCUCAACUGUAAAAGUGCCUUCGAAACUGGUUUCCUUGAGUGUAGAUGAAGUAGGCGGAAUUUGUGGUGUAGCAGUGAAAUGCAUAGAUAUCACGAGGAACUCCGAUUGCGCAGGCAGCUUACUAAACUACUACUGACGCUCAGGCACGAAGGCGUGGGGAGUCAAACAGGAUUAGAUA
Molecule: ribosomal RNA, 262 nt
Filed under: uncultured prokaryote
Description: partial 16S ribosomal RNA
Rfam family: Bacterial small subunit ribosomal RNA
Source: RNAcentral